Molecule: ribosomal RNA, 374 nt
Filed under: Geotrichum candidum
Lineage: Eukaryota; Fungi; Ascomycota; Dipodascomycetes; Dipodascales; Dipodascaceae
Description: eukaryotic LSU rRNA
Rfam family: Eukaryotic large subunit ribosomal RNA
Source: RNAcentral
CCCGCUGAACUUAAGCAUAUCAAUAAGCGGAGGAAAAGAAACCAACAGGGAUUGCCUUAGUAACGGCGAGUGAAGCGGCAAAAGCUCAAAUUUGAAAUCGGCCCCCAGGUCGAGUUGUAAUUUGUAGAUUGUAUCUUGAGAGCGGAUUAAAGUCUGUUGGAACACAGCGCCUUAGAGGGUGACAGCCCCGUAAAAUCUAUUCUCAUUGUAAGAUACUUUCGAAGAGUCGAGUUGUUUGGGAAUGCAGCUCUAAGUGGGAGGUAAAUUCCUUCUAAAGCUAAAUAUUGACGAGAGACCGAUAGCGAACAAGUACUGUGAAGGAAAGAUGAAAAGCACUUUGAAAAGAGAGUGAAAAAGUACGUGAAAUUGUUAAA